RNAcentral lists this transfer RNA (73 nucleotides) under Choloepus hoffmanni (Hoffmann's two-fingered sloth). Its description in RNAcentral is "tRNA-Lys (CTT) (tRNA-Lys-CTT-13-1)". It matches the Rfam family "tRNA". Rfam says of the family: Transfer RNA (tRNA) molecules are approximately 80 nucleotides in length. Their secondary structure includes four short double-helical elements and three loops (D, anti-codon, and T loops). Further hydrogen bonds mediate the characteristic L-shaped molecular structure. tRNAs have two regions of fundamental functional importance: the anti-codon, which is responsible for specific mRNA codon recognition, and the 3' end, to which the tRNAs corresponding amino acid is attached (by aminoacyl-tRNA synthetases). tRNAs cope with the degeneracy of the genetic code in two manners: having more than one tRNA (with a specific anti-codon) for a particular amino acid; and 'wobble' base-pairing, i.e. permitting non-standard base-pairing at the 3rd anti-codon position. The record is from RNAcentral. Lineage: Eukaryota; Metazoa; Chordata; Mammalia; Pilosa; Megalonychidae.
GCCCGGCUAGUUCAGUUGGUAGAGCAUGAGACUCUUAAUCUCAGGGUAGUGGGUUCGAGUCCCACGUUGGGCA